This 256-nucleotide ribosomal RNA is filed under the name uncultured bacterium. RNAcentral's name for it is "partial 16S ribosomal RNA". It matches the Rfam family "Bacterial small subunit ribosomal RNA", at positions 526 to 779 of the family's 1533-position model. The record is from RNAcentral.
CGUAGGUGCAAGCGUUAAUCGGAAUUACUGGGCGUAAAGCGUGCGCAGGCGGUCCGCUAAGACAGAUGUGAAAAUCCCCGGGCGUUAACCUGGGAACGUGCAUUUGUGACUGGCGGGCUAGAGUAUGGCAGAGGGGGGUAGGAAUUCCACGUGUAGCAGUGAAAUGCGUAGAGAUGUGGAGGAAUACCGAUGGCGAAGGCAGCCCCUGGGCAAUACUGACGCUCAUGCACGAAAGCGUGGGGAGGCAAACAGGAUU